CACACACACACACACACACACACACACACACACACACACACACACACACACACACACACACACACACACACACACACACACACACACACACACACACACACACACAAACACACACACACACACACACACAAUUAACAACUCCUCCAACCGCUCGGGGAAUGUUGCAUCAUGGGAAAUGUAGGCGGUGGGUUCUUCCAAAGACAGAAAAUAUCAGAAUUUGACUCUGAGAGGACAGAGGAGCGAUAAACGCUCUGUCCACAGGGGGGCGCCAAAAUCACCACAUACAGGAAGUCCCUCACAGGAGCUUUAAACCCGAGGAGUGAGAGGAGGAGGAGGAGGAGCGAGAGAGAACCACCUGAACCACCAGAACCACCUGAACCAUCAGAACCACCUGAACCACCAGAACCAUCAGAACCACCUGAACCACCUGAACCAUCAGAACCACCUGAACCACCUGAACCAUCAGAACCACCUGAACCACCUGAACCAUCAGAACCAUCAGAACCAUCAGAACCACCUGAACCACCUGAACCACC
This is a non-coding RNA of Xyrichtys novacula (pearly razorfish), 536 nucleotides long. Lineage: Eukaryota; Metazoa; Chordata; Actinopteri; Labriformes; Labridae. The record is from the annotation of a GenBank genome assembly.